ACUAGGUUUGUCAUUGAGGAGAAGACUGAAAUAAGCAGUGGAUUAUUGGCCAUGCUUGCAAUGAAUGUCAGACGCCUAGAGAUCAAUAUAUAAUUCAGCUACAACAUGACAUAAUACAAUUACACGUUUUUAAAGAAAGAUGCCUUUAAAUAAAAAGAUGUUGAUUCCUGUUACCUUUUUCUUUCGUUCUUUCUCUUUUUUUUUUUUUUUUUU
Cucurbita moschata (crookneck pumpkin) is the source of this 213-nucleotide long non-coding RNA. RefSeq lists it as uncharacterized. NCBI's taxonomy places the organism in Eukaryota, Viridiplantae, Streptophyta, Magnoliopsida, Cucurbitales, Cucurbitaceae. The transcript is spliced from 2 exons. The record is from RefSeq and is a predicted model, not a curated record.